AAAAAGGAGGGAAGCAAAAUUACAUGCCAAGUUCGGAGCGAGCUGAAUUCAAAGAUCCCUUCGGGGUGAUUUGUUGGACGCUUAGCGGCGGAUGGGUGAGUAACACGUGGGCAAUCUGCCCUAAAGACUGGGAUACCACUUGGAAACAGGUGCUAAUACCGGAUAACAACAUGAAUCGCAUGAUUCAAGUUUGAAAGGCGGCGCAAGCUGUCACUUUAGGAUGAGCCCGCGGCGCAUUAGCUAGUUGGUGGGGUAAAGGCCUACCAAGGCAAUGAUGCGUAGCCGAGUUGAGAGACUGAUCGGCCACAUUGGGACUGAGACACGGCCCAAACUCCUACGGGAGGCAGCAGUAGGGAAUCUUCCACAAUGGACGCAAGUCUGAUGGAGCAACGCCGCGUGAGUGAAGAAGGUCUUCGGAUCGUAAAGCUCUGUUGUUGGUGAAGAAGGAUAGAAGCAGUAACUGGUCUUUAUUUGACGGUAAUCAACCAGAAAGUCACGGCUAACUACGUGCCAGCAGCCGCGGUAAUACGUAAGUGGCAAGCGUUGUCCGGAUUUAUUGGGCGUGAAGCGAGCGCAGGCGGAAUGAUAAGUCUGAUGUGAAAGCCCACAGCUCAACCGUGGAACUGCAUCGGAAAACUGUCAUUCUUAAUUAAA
RNAcentral lists this ribosomal RNA (654 nucleotides) under Lactobacillus delbrueckii subsp. bulgaricus. RNAcentral describes it as "bacterial SSU rRNA". It matches the Rfam family "Bacterial small subunit ribosomal RNA", at positions 1 to 650 of the family's 1533-position model. Lineage: Bacteria; Bacillati; Bacillota; Bacilli; Lactobacillales; Lactobacillaceae. The record is from RNAcentral.